Molecule: ribosomal RNA, 1095 nt
Filed under: Bibersteinia trehalosi
Lineage: Bacteria; Pseudomonadati; Pseudomonadota; Gammaproteobacteria; Pasteurellales; Pasteurellaceae
Description: partial 23S ribosomal RNA
Rfam family: Bacterial large subunit ribosomal RNA
Source: RNAcentral
UUGUGGUACUAGGCUAACAACAAGUAGGGCGGGACACGUGAUAUCCUGUUUGAAGAUGGGGGGACCAUCCUCCAAGGCUAAAUACUCCUGAUUGACCGAUAGUGAACCAGUACUGUGAAGGAAAGGCGAAAAGAACCCCGGCGAGGGGAGUGAAAUAGAACCUGAAACCUUGUGCGUACAAGCAGUGGGAGCAGAUUUAUUCUGUGACUGCGUACCUUUUGUAUAAUGGGUCAGCGACUUAUAUUUUGUAGCAAGGUUAACUGAAUAAGGGAGCCGUAGGGAAACCGAGUCUUAACUGGGCGAAUAGUUGCAAGGUAUAGACCCGAAACCCGGUGAUCUAGCCAUGGGCAGGUUGAAGGUUGGGUAACACUAACUGGAGGACCGAACCGACUAAUGUUGAAAAAUUAGCGGAUGACUUGUGGCUGGGGGUGAAAGGCCAAUCAAACCGGGAGAUAGCUGGUUCUCCCCGAAAUCUAUUUAGGUAGAGCCUUGAGCGGACACCUUCGGGGGUAGAGCACUGUUUCGGCUAGGGGUCCAUCCCGGAUUACCAACCCGAUGCAAACUGCGAAUACCGAAGAGUGAUACUCAGGAGACACACGGUGGGUGCUAACGUCCAUCGUGGAGAGGGAAACAACCCAGACCGCCAGCUAAGGUCCCAAAGUCUAUAUUAAGUGGGAAACGAAGUGGGAAGGCUUAGACAGCUAGGAUGUUGGCUUAGAAGCAGCCACCAUUUAAAGAAAGCGUAAUAGCUCACUAGUCGAGUCGGCCUGCGCGGAAGAUGUAACGGGGCUCAAAUAUAGCACCGAAGCUGCGGCAUCAGUCGAAAGACUGUUGGGUAGGGGAGCGUCGUGUAAGCGGAUGAAGGUGGAUUGAGAAGUCUGCUGGACGUAUCACGAGUGCGAAUGCUGACAUAAGUAACGAUAAAACGAGUGAAAAACUCGUUCGCCGGAAGACUAAGGGUUCCUGUCCAACGUUAAUCGGGGCAGGGUGAGUCGGCCCCUAAGGCGAGGCUGAAAAGCGUAGUCGAUGGGAAACGGGUUAAUAUUCCCGUACUUGUAAUAACUGCGAUGUGGGGACGGAGAAGGUUAGGUUAGC